RNAcentral lists this ribosomal RNA (530 nucleotides) under uncultured archaeon. RNAcentral describes it as "bacterial SSU rRNA". It matches the Rfam family "Archaeal small subunit ribosomal RNA", at positions 326 to 856 of the family's 1478-position model. The record is from RNAcentral.
CGGGGUGCACCAGGCGCGAAACCUUUACAAUGCUGGCAACAGCGAUAGGGGGACCUCGAGUGCCAGGUUACAAAUCUGGCUGUCGUUGUGUCUAAAAAACCCGAUAUAGCAAGGGCCGGGCAAGACCGGUGCCAGCCGCCGCGGUAACACCGGCGGCUCGAGUGGUAACCGUUAUUAUUGGGUUUAAAGGGUCUGUAGCCGGCCUGGUUAGUCCUCUGGGAAAUCCGGCAGCUCAACUGUCGGGCUUUCAGAGGAUACUGCCAGGCUCGAGACCGGGAGAGGUAAGAGGUACUUCAGGGGUAGGGGUGAAAUCUUGUAAUCCUUGAAGGACCACCAGUGGCGAAGGCGUCUUACCAGAACGGAUCUGACGGCAAGGGACGAAAGCUAGGGGCACGAACCGGAUUAGAUACCCGGGUAGUCCUAGCCGUAAACGAUACUCGCUAGGUGUCGGCCACGGUGCGACCGUGGUCGGUCCCGUAGGGAAACCGUGAAGCGAGCCUCCCGGGAAGUACGUCCGCAAGGGUGAAACU